UCCGCUAGGCGAGGAGGUAGAUGAGUUUCGCAGUCGAGGGAUGAGCUGAUAGCUAGACGAGGAGAUGGUCGCUGUGAUGGGAAGAGCUUGAAGACGAGCUGAGGAGCUUGAGGACGAGCUGAGGAGCUUGAAGAGCUUAAAGGCG
This 145-nucleotide small RNA is filed under the name Arabidopsis thaliana (thale cress). RNAcentral describes it as "ATSL135460". The record is from RNAcentral. Lineage: Eukaryota; Viridiplantae; Streptophyta; Magnoliopsida; Brassicales; Brassicaceae.